RNAcentral lists this non-coding RNA (23 nucleotides) under Arabidopsis thaliana (thale cress). The record is from RNAcentral. Lineage: Eukaryota; Viridiplantae; Streptophyta; Magnoliopsida; Brassicales; Brassicaceae.
AUUAACGUGUGGUGAGCUGGUGA